AAACGACACCAACAACUGAGAUCACCACCAGCACUACAUCAGUAACAACACCAACAACAUCUUUGACAACUGGUACAACUGAGUCCACCUCCAGUUCCACAACAGUAGUAACACCAACAACUACAUCAACAACUGAGACCACUACCAGUACUAC
Leucoraja erinaceus (little skate) is the source of this 154-nucleotide long non-coding RNA. RefSeq lists it as uncharacterized. The transcript has 3 exons. NCBI's taxonomy places the organism in Eukaryota, Metazoa, Chordata, Chondrichthyes, Rajiformes, Rajidae. The record is from RefSeq and is a predicted model, not a curated record.